UACGUAGGGACCAAGCGUUGUUCGGAUUUACUGGGCGUAAAGGGCGCGCAGGCGGCCCUUGAAGUCAGGCGUGAAAGCCCCGGGCUCAACCUGGGAGGUGCGCUUGAUACUCGAGGGCUUGAGUGCGGGAGAGGAGAGUGGAAUUCCUAGUGUAGCGGUGAAAUGCGUAGAUAUUAGGAGGAACACCAGUUGCGAAGGCGGCUCUCUGGACUGUAACUGACACUGAGGCACGAAAGCGUGGGGAGCAAACAGG
Molecule: ribosomal RNA, 253 nt
Filed under: uncultured bacterium
Lineage: Bacteria
Description: partial 16S ribosomal RNA
Rfam family: Bacterial small subunit ribosomal RNA
Source: RNAcentral